The submitters of this non-coding RNA (67 nucleotides) gave its source as unclassified sequences. The record is from Rfam.
ACAAUGAUACUUCCGUAGCAGAAAUGCGCGGCUGGCGGAGUACCCGGCAGAGGUGAGAUUCCUAUGG